GACGAACGCUGGCGGCGUGCUUAACACAUGCAAGUCGAACGGAAAGGCCCCCUUGUGGGGUACUCGAGUGGCGAACGGGUGAGUAACAUGUGAGUAACCUACCCUUGACUUUGGGAUAACUUCAGGAAACUGGGGCUAAUACCGGAUAGGAGCUCCCGCUGCAUGGUGGGGGUUGGAAAGUUUCGGCGGUUGGGGAUGGACUCGCGGCUUAUCAGCUUGUUGGUGGGGUAGUGGCUCACCAAGGCUUUGACGGGUAGCCGGCCUGAGAGGGUGACCGGCCACAUUGGGACUGAGAUACGGCCCAGACCCCUACGGGAGGCAGCAGUGGGGAAUAUUGCACAAUGGGCGGAAGCCUGAUGCAGCAACGCCGCGUGCGGGAUGACGGCCUUCGGGUUGUAAACCGCUUUCGCCUGUGACGAAGCGUGAGUGACGGUAAUGGGUAAAGAAGCACCGGCUAACUACGUG
RNAcentral lists this ribosomal RNA (465 nucleotides) under uncultured bacterium. RNAcentral describes it as "partial 16S ribosomal RNA". It matches the Rfam family "Bacterial small subunit ribosomal RNA", at positions 28 to 507 of the family's 1533-position model. The record is from RNAcentral.